This 427-nucleotide ribosomal RNA is filed under the name uncultured bacterium. Its description in RNAcentral is "partial 16S ribosomal RNA". It matches the Rfam family "Bacterial small subunit ribosomal RNA", at positions 354 to 796 of the family's 1533-position model. The record is from RNAcentral.
GUAGGGAAUUUUGCGCAAUGGGCGAAAGCCUGACGCAGCAACACCGCGUGAGCGAUGAAGCCCCUUGGGGUGUAAAGCUCUGUCAGUAGGGAAGAAUUAAUGACUGUACCUACAGAGGAAGCAUCGGCUAACUACGUGCCAGCAGCCGCGGUAAGACGUAGGAUGCAAGCGUUGUCCGGAAUUAUUGGGCGUAAAGAGUUCGUAGGCGGCAUAUCAAGUCUGGUGUUAAAGACUGGGGCUCAACUCCAGAAGGGCACUGGAUACUGAUAAGCUAGAGUACAGAAGAGGCAAGGGGAAUUCCCAGUGUAGCGGUGAAAUGCGUAGAUAUUGGGAGGAACACCAGUGGCGUAAGCGCCUUGCUGGGCUGUUACUGACGCUGAGGAACGAAAGCCAGGGGAGCAAAUGGGAUUAGAUACCCUAGUAGUCC